AACGAACGCUGGCGGCAUGCCUAACACAUGCAAGUCGAACGAGACCUUCGGGUCUAGUGGCGCAGGGGUGCGUAACGCGUGGGAACCUGCACUUAGGUUUGGCAUAACGCAGGGAAAUUUGAGCUAAUACCGGAUAUUGUCUUCGGACCAAAGAGUUAUCGCCUUUGGAUGGGCCCGCGUAGGAUUAGCUUGUUGGUGGGGUAAUGGCCUACCAAGGCGACGAUCCUUAGCUGGUCUGAGAGGAUGAGCAGCCACACUGGUAGUGAGACACGGCCAAGACUCCUACGGGAGGGAGCAGUGGGGAAUAUUGGACAAUGGGCGAAAGCCUGAUCCAGCUAUGCCGCGUGAGUGAUGAUGGUCUGAGGGUUGUAAAGCUCUUUUACCAGGGAUGAUAAUGACAGUAACUGGAGAAUAAGCUCCGGCUAACUCCGUG
Molecule: ribosomal RNA, 433 nt
Filed under: uncultured bacterium
Lineage: Bacteria
Description: partial 16S ribosomal RNA
Rfam family: Bacterial small subunit ribosomal RNA
Source: RNAcentral